This 301-nucleotide ribosomal RNA is filed under the name uncultured bacterium. RNAcentral describes it as "partial 16S ribosomal RNA". It matches the Rfam family "Bacterial small subunit ribosomal RNA", at positions 509 to 807 of the family's 1533-position model. The record is from RNAcentral.
CAGCCGCCGCGGGAAUACGAAGGGUGCAAGCGUUAAUCGGAAUUACUGGGCGUAAAGCGUGCGUAGGUGGUGGUUUAAGUCCGUUGUGAAAGCCCUGGGCUCAACCUGGGAAUUGCAGUGGAUACUGGGUCACUAGAGUGUGGUAGAGGAUAGUGGAAUUUCCGGUGUAGCAGUGAAAUGCGUAGAGAUCGGAAGGAACAUCUGUGGCGAAGGCGACUAUCUGGGCCAACACUGACACUGAGGCACGAAAGCGUGGGGAGCAAACAGGAUUAGAUACCCCGGUAGUCCCUGUCUCUUAUAC